This 236-nucleotide ribosomal RNA is filed under the name uncultured bacterium. RNAcentral's name for it is "partial 16S ribosomal RNA". It matches the Rfam family "Bacterial small subunit ribosomal RNA", at positions 118 to 351 of the family's 1533-position model. The record is from RNAcentral.
UGAGUAACCUGCCCUUAACUCUGGGAUAAGCCUGGGAAACUGGGUCUAAUACCGGAUAUGACUCCUCAUCGCAUGGUGGGGGGUGGAAAGCUUUAUUGUGGUUUUGGAUGGACUCGCGGCCUAUCAGCUUGUUGGUGAGGUAAUGGUUCACCAAGGCGACGACGGGUAGCCGGCCUGAGAGGGUGACCGGCCACACUGGGACUGAGACACGGCCCAGACCUCCGUACGGGAGGCAG